UCGGGGUAUUCCACAAAAAAUUACUCUGCGGGAUGAAAUAUUCCUCGGGGCCCUCGGAAUAUUUCAUCCCGCAGGGUAAUUUUUUGUGGAAUACCCCU
This 98-nucleotide microRNA precursor is filed under the name Paramuricea clavata. The record is from RNAcentral. Lineage: Eukaryota; Metazoa; Cnidaria; Anthozoa; Malacalcyonacea; Plexauridae.